UUCUCUCCCAGAGUAGCAAAUAGCAACAGCCCCUCUUUGGAAUGCGGAGCUGCUCGGGAGGACAAAGUUGCCCUGUUGGUAUCUGGUCCAGUGGAGAAGAAAGAAGGGCUUGGUGGGAAGGGCAGAAGCAUACCCGUCGGCCUGUGGCUAGAUACAACCAAGACACUGGCAUGCUAAUGAGUCUGAACUAGCCACCUGGAGGAUAAGAGGCCUGGAAGAUGAGAGGCCACAUGGAGGAGAACCAAGAUGCCCCUGCUGACAGCCUGUCAGAAAAUUGCCAGACAUUUCACCGACUUCUCAAAGAAAGACUUUCCCCAAGUAGCUGGCGGUUUCCCAGUAUGAUAAGGCAAAAUAGCGAGAAAGUUUUGUUGUUUUCUUUGUCCUGCCUUUCUCCCACUUCAAGAAUCUGA
Long non-coding RNA from Tupaia belangeri chinensis (Chinese tree shrew), 410 nucleotides. RefSeq lists it as uncharacterized. The record is from RefSeq and is a predicted model, not a curated record. The transcript has 3 exons. Lineage: Eukaryota; Metazoa; Chordata; Mammalia; Scandentia; Tupaiidae.